Molecule: long non-coding RNA, 495 nt
Organism: Bufo bufo (common toad)
Lineage: Eukaryota; Metazoa; Chordata; Amphibia; Anura; Bufonidae
Exons: 3
Source: RefSeq, a predicted model, not a curated record
UGAGGUCAGUGGGCACUGUGCUUGGAGAGAUGCUGGGAGUCGGCGGCUCCCUGCAACACCUGAUCCAGCAGGGGUGCUGGGACUCGGACUCCCACCGAUGUGACAAUGAGGACCUAUCCUAAGGAUACGCCAUCAUUAUCUCUACCUAGAUAGGGAUUAGCAACUUUUUUAGUCACAUGGCCGGUGUUCCUUCCUGUCCGGCAGAUGGGCUCUGGUGCAUUGACUACCACAGAUUCGCAUUGUCAUAAAUUAUGGCAGCAUAGGGGGGAAUCUAAGACCAAUGUGAAAAGACGGUCAUGGUAAACUACCCUCAUUGUAUUUUUUCUUGAAGACAUUUUGCUAGUCAUCCAACUGACUUUCUCAAUUAGAAUAACAAGGAAUCUCCGGCAUAAAAUACUGGUGACUCAUGCUUCAGCCAGCAUGAUCUGUUUAUCAUAAUCAACAAGAGUUGUGUAGGAAGCUAUUUAUAUUAAAUUGGUGUCACCAAGAAUGAAU